CGCCACCCCCUCACCCCGCCUCAGCCCGGCCCGCCCGAGGCCCCGCACUGCGCAGCGUCACUUACCCCCCGGCCGCGGCGGACGGCGCCGGUUGUGGCGGUUAGGGCCGCGCUCUCGAAGAAUCUCAGCUGCCUCAGUGUUUUAAAUGGAAAAGUCUCACGAGCAAGACUGUCCCAAACCUUUUACAUAAAACGGGAUACAACAGAUGUCUGUGACAUUUGAAGAAGUGCUUCCUGGCAUGUCAGGAUGAACAAAGAAGAUUCUCUAAGUCUGUCCUCAUCCUGGUGGCCCUCCACUGCACUUUCUUCACUACACUGAAGAAUUUGCUGACCCAGGAAAGUGUCAACAUGGGAAACCUCAGCAAGGUUCACAAGAGGGUGUUGAACAAGACUGUGACCUGCUUCUUUGGUAACUGUUUCUCAUGUUGUUUUCAGGGCCUUGUACUUCAGCUUUACACUGGUUCUUACACUUCAGUCGCAGUCAAGUCCUUUUGUAUAGAUACCAGAGUUUAAUAAACUCCCAAAGUGCUGGAAGCAUCG
Molecule: long non-coding RNA, 539 nt
Organism: Calypte anna (Anna's hummingbird)
Lineage: Eukaryota; Metazoa; Chordata; Aves; Apodiformes; Trochilidae
Exons: 4
Source: RefSeq, a predicted model, not a curated record